This 274-nucleotide signal recognition particle RNA is filed under the name Nanobdellati archaeon. Its description in RNAcentral is "signal recognition particle sRNA". It matches the Rfam family "Archaeal signal recognition particle RNA". Lineage: Archaea; Nanobdellati. The record is from RNAcentral.
UGGCAGGCUAGGCUGGGAGGUUAGCGGUCUCCUGUUACUCCAGAUCCGCUUUACGGGAGAGCUGAAGUUGGGAGAGCGCGAUGCAUGUUGCGUUAAAGCCUAGUGCUGAGCGCUGACUUCCUGUCCUGUUGGAUUCGUAGUACUUGGAACCUGGUCAGGCCUUGACGGGAGCAGCCAUAACAUCUAUUGCGGAUGUCUUCAGGGUAGCAGGAACGAGCAAGGUGCUAGACCACUUUGGUGCAGUGUGCAUUGUCAUUUCCUAACGUGCCUGCCA